GACGAACGCUGGCGGCGUGCUUAACACAUGCAAGUCGAACGGAAAGGCCCUGCUUUUGUGGGGUGCUCGAGUGGCGAACGGGUGAGUAACACGUGAGUAACCUGCCCUUGACUUUGGGAUAACUUCAGGAAACUGGGGCUAAUACCGGAUAGGAGCUCCUGCUGCAUGGUGGGGGUUGGAAAGUUUCGGCGGUUGGGGAUGGACUCGCGGCUUAUCAGCUUGUUGGUGGGGUAGUGGCUUACCAAGGCUUUGACGGGUAGCCGGCCUGAGAGGGUGACCGGCCACAUUGGGACUGAGGUACGGCCCAGACGCAUACGGGAGGCAGGAGUGGGGAAUAUUGCAAAAUGGGCGGAAGCCUGAUGGAGCAACGCCGCGUGCGGGAUGACGGCCUUCGGGUUGUAAACCGCUUUCGCCUGUGACGAAGCGUGAGUGACGGUAAUGGGUAAAGAAGCACCGGCUAACUCCGU
This 467-nucleotide ribosomal RNA is filed under the name uncultured bacterium. Its description in RNAcentral is "partial 16S ribosomal RNA". It matches the Rfam family "Bacterial small subunit ribosomal RNA", at positions 28 to 506 of the family's 1533-position model. The record is from RNAcentral.